AAGAACCUUACCAGCCCUUGACAUCCCGGUCGCGGGAACGAGAGAUCGAUCCCUUCAGUUCGGCUGGACCGGAGACAGGUGCUGCAUGGCUGUCGUCAGCUCGUGUCGUGAGAUGUUGGGUUAAGUCCCGCAACGAGCGCAACCCUCGCCCUUAGUUGCCAUCAUUCAGUUGGGCUCUCUAGGGGGACUGCCGGUGAUAAGCCGCGAGGAAGGUGGGGAUGACGUCAAGUCCUCAUGGCCCUCACGGGCUGGGCUACACACGUGCUACAAUGGCGGUGACAGUGGGACGCAAUGGGGCAACCCUGCGCAAAUCUCAAAAAGCCGUCUCAGUUCGGAUUGUGCUCUGCAACUCGAGCACAUGAAGUUGGAAUCGCUAGUAAUCGCAGAUCAGCACGCUGCGGUGAAUACGUUCCCGGGCCUUGUACACACCGCCCGUCACACCAUGGGAGUUGGCUUUACCUGAAGACGGUGCGCUNACCGCAAGGAAGCAGCCUGCCACGGUAGGGUCAGUGACUGGGGUGAAGUCGUAACAAGGUAGCCGUA
Molecule: ribosomal RNA, 543 nt
Filed under: uncultured Alphaproteobacteria bacterium
Lineage: Bacteria; Pseudomonadati; Pseudomonadota; Alphaproteobacteria
Description: bacterial SSU rRNA
Rfam family: Bacterial small subunit ribosomal RNA
Source: RNAcentral